Caretta caretta (loggerhead turtle) is the source of this 4516-nucleotide non-coding RNA. The record is from RefSeq and is a predicted model, not a curated record. Lineage: Eukaryota; Metazoa; Chordata; Testudines; Cheloniidae.
CACGUCAGUACGUCAUCAGGAUGCGCUGGGGAGCGGAAGUGACGCGUUUGUUCCGCGCUGGCUGGCGCUGCAGCCUCUCUCCUUAGUCUCCGGCGGCGGGCGGUGCUGGCGUUUGUUCUGACUCAAAUGGGUGAUGAAAAGGACUCUUGGAAAGUGAAAACUUUAGAUGAAAUUCUUCAGGAAAAAAAACGAAGGAAGGAGCAAGAAGAGAAGGCAGAGAUAAAACGCAUUAAAAAUUCUGAUGAUCGGGAUUCAAAGCGGGAUUCCCUUGAAGAGGGGGAGCUGAGAGAUCACCGUAUGGAGAUAACAAUCAGGAAUUCACCUUACAGGAGAGAAGAUUCUAUGGAAGAUAGAGGAGAGGAGGAUGAUUCCUUGGCUAUCAAACCACCACAGCAGAUGUCACGGAAGGAAAAAGCACAUCACAGGAAAGAUGAGAAGAGGAAAGAGAAACGUAGACAUCGUAGUCAUUCAGCAGAAGGAGGGAAGCAUGCCAGGGUAAAAGAGAAGGAACGUGAGCAUGAACGUAGGAAAAGACAUCGAGAAGAGCAGGAUAAGGCUCGACGUGAAUGGGAAAGGCAGAAGAGGAGGGAAAUGGCUAGGGAGCAUUCCAGGAGGGAGAGGGAUCGUCUAGAGCAGCUUGAGCGAAAACGAGAACGGGAGAGAAAAAUGCGAGAGCAACAAAAAGAGCAAAGGGAACUAAAAGAACGGGAAAGGCGAGCUGAAGAAAGGCGCAAGGAACGGGAGGCCAGACGAGAAGUUUCUGCACAUCAUAGAACAGUGAGGGAAGAUUAUGGAGACAAAGUAAAAAUAAGAACCUGGAGUCGCAGCCCAUUACGACAGCAAAGAGAGAAGCUUGAGCAAGGAGAUGGCAGGAAGCCAGUAAAAGAGGAGAAAACAGAAGAAAGAGACCUGCUUUCGGAUUUGCAAGACAUCAGUGACAGUGAGAGAAAAACUAGCUCAGCAGAGUCUUCGUCAGGAGAAUCUGGAUCUGGUUCAGAGGAAGAGGAGGAGGAAUCUAGCAGUGGAGAAUCGGAAGAGGAGGAGGAGGAAGAAGAGGAGGAGGAGGAAGAAGAGGAGGAGGAGGAGGAGGAGGAAGAGGAGACAGGAAGCAAUUCUGAGGAAGUGUCUGAACAGUCAGCUGAAGAGGUGAGUGAAGAAGAAAUGAGUGAAGAAGAAGAGCGAGAGAAUGGAAAUCACAUUCCAGUUGUUACAGAGUCAAGGUUUGAUCGAGAUUCAGCAGGAAGUGAAGGAGAAGAGGAGGAAGUGGGGGAGGGGACCCCACAUUCCAAUACAAUGACAGAAGGAGAUUAUGUUCCUGAUUCUCCAGCUUCAUCACCCACUGAGUUGAAACAAGAGCUACCCAAGUACCUUCCUGCGCUGCAGGGAUGUCGUAGCGUGGAGGAAUUUCAGUGUUUGAACAGGAUUGAAGAAGGAACAUAUGGUGUGGUAUACAGGGCAAAAGACAAAAAAACUGAUGAAAUUGUGGCUCUGAAGCGACUGAAAAUGGAAAAGGAAAAAGAAGGCUUUCCCAUUACCUCUCUAAGAGAAAUAAACACCAUUCUGAAAGCACAGCACCCAAAUAUAGUCACUGUUAGAGAAAUUGUUGUGGGCAGUAAUAUGGAUAAAAUCUAUAUCGUAAUGAAUUAUGUAGAACAUGACCUCAAAAGUCUGAUGGAAACCAUGAAACAGCCAUUUUUACCAGGUGAAGUGAAAACUUUGAUGAUUCAGUUAUUGCGUGGAGUCAAGCACCUUCAUGACAACUGGAUACUUCAUCGGGACUUGAAGACCUCCAACUUGCUGCUGAGUCAUAAAGGCAUUUUAAAAGUUGGAGAUUUUGGACUGGCCCGAGAGUAUGGGUCACCUCUGAAGCCUUACACACCAGUAGUUGUGACACUAUGGUACAGGGCACCAGAGCUGUUACUUGGCGCCAAGGAAUACUCCACUGCAAUAGACAUGUGGUCAGUAGGUUGUAUAUUUGGAGAAUUAUUAACUCAGAAACCGCUGUUUCCAGGAAAAUCAGAAAUUGACCAGAUUAACAAAGUUUUUAAGGACCUGGGUACCCCCAGUGAGAAAAUCUGGCCUGGGUACAAUGAACUGCCUGCUGUAAAGAAGAUGACAUUCACAGAGUAUCCCUAUAACAACUUACGCAAGAGGUUUGGGGCACUCCUUUCUGAUCCAGGUUUUGAUCUCAUGAACAAGUUCUUGACAUACUAUCCAGGCAGAAGAAUCACUGCUGAAGAUGGUUUGAAGCAUGAGUAUUUCCGAGAGACUCCCCUUCCUAUUGACCCAUCCAUGUUUCCAACAUGGCCAGCAAAAAGUGAACAACAAAGAGUUAAGCGCGGCACAAGCCCACGACCUCCAGAGGGAGGACUUGGGUAUAGUCAAUUGGGUGAUGAUGAUCUGAAAGAUACAGGUUUUCACCUGACUACCACAAAUCAAGGAGCAUCUGCAGCAGGACCUGGCUUCAGCCUCAAGUUUUAAACUUAAUAUGAGGAGGGGAAAAAGACAGAGCUUUGACUUCAACCAUGCUGUUGAUGAAUGGAUUUCAAAGUGCUCCAGUUUUGUUCUUCGCAUCAGGAAGACUCUGUAUUUUACACAGAAAUAGCCAGAUGUCAUCUUGCUGGGUGUGGAAUAUAACUGCUGCAUUUCAUUCAGGGGACUGGAAUGAAUUAAUCCGAAAAGCCAAGGAUCAUUACAAAAAUUCAAAAAGGAAAACUUGAAGUACAAUCUCGGAACUGUUUUUUUUUUUUUUUUUUUUGCUUGUAAAUUUGUAGAAUUAAAAUCCAUUUUUAAUUGUUUAACAGUGUGAAGGAUUUCAUUUUCUUCACCUGCACCAGACUUGGAUGGUGGUGGCACUAAAUCUUCUAGAGAGGAAACUUAGAGAGAUUUUUCUCUCUCCAUCAUCCCCAUUUGUGCUUACACAAUUGAAGCAUAUUGUCAGCACAGGCCCUACAUAUACAUUUUGGGUGUGACUGGCCAAGUGUUUUCCAUAUUAAAGCUGAGCCUUUAAGAUCUCUUCUUGUCUCUGUCUGGGUAGAUGGAAGUUCACUUUAACCCCACAGCACUCGAAAGGUGACAUUCCUGCCUUCAGGAACAAUCUUGGUUUUCGUCCUGAGUGGAGGAAGAGUUGGUGCUACUGUUGGAAAAGGGAAUUCUGUCCACCAGAAGGAGGGAAAAAAAAUAGCUAAGUCAGUUUAUGCCAUUGGAAAGCAUUGCUGAAGAUAACAGUAUUUUUGAGGAACCACACUGCCUUUUAGAUUUCCUUUUCUGUAUAGUAGUUCUUCAAAGCUUCCUCCUAAAUAAGCAAGUAUUGGAAAGGCAUUACUUUAUCAUAAUUUCCAUAGACAAAUAACAUCCUCUCAGUGCGUUUACAUGGCACAAGAUGACAUUGGUUGACUUUUUUCUAUCACCACAGCCUUGCCAACACUUGUGAUUUUAGCGCAAGUCUCAUGAUAUUUGCUGAUUUUUCGGAAGGGGGGGUAGAGGAAGGUUUAUCCUAGGUCCUGGAUUUAUAUGAGAAUCUGUGCAGGGAAACAGUUUACAUAAAAUAUAAUCACUGUCAUUGAAAUGCUGUUCUAAGACAUACUUGUUAUUAGUCUGAAUGGAGGUACACAACCCCAGUGCCCUCUUUCCUUUAGUCCAGGCUCACAAAUAUAAAACGAAAAGGAGUACUUGUGGCACCUUAGAGCUCACAAAUAUGUUCCUACUGCAUUGUAGCAGGCACGACACCUAAUCUGCAAUUCAGCACUAUCGGCUUGCAUUCUUCAAAGCCAAAGUGUAGUAACUGCAGUUAAUGACAUACUUUUUCCUCUCUGAUAAGAUGGGGGAAUAGCCUAAAAUUUGUUUAACAAAGCAAUUACCAGGUUUCAGAUUUCCAAAGGGAUGGGUUAGAUCUAGAGGGUCAAGUGCAAGUUAGACUAACCAACUUUAGCUCACAACUUUCCCACCUCGCCAUGUAAAUUAUGGUACCAAAUACCUCACCUCUGAAUUUUGCCCUCAAGAGGAUCUGAUAGGGAAGCAGCACAAGGCACAUGGAACAAUUCUUGUGUUCACAAACUCUCAGGGUCUUGGGAUAAAGUUAAAUCAGAGAGGAGGAACACUGACCAGGACAGCAGACUUUUCCAUACUCUAGACAACAUACCCUGGGGCUGAAAUGCAAUAGGCAAAGCAAGGGUGUUAAGGGCAUCACUGAUAACAAGACUCUUCCAGACCAAAGGAUUCAGUAAUUUGUCACUAACAUUCAGAUAGCUCACACAAUUUAACAUUGUCCCUCUGUCAACUCUUAUGACCCUUAACCCUGGAAGAGGAGCUGAUACCAUAGCAGAAAUCACAGCUGGACGGACAGUGCUUUUUCAUCAACUUCCUACGAGUCUCACAGAAACCUUUCCGAGUCCAUGAUGGACAUACGAAUAGUCUGUCUGUGCAGCCUGAAAUGAAAGGAGACAAAGCAUUAAAGGGACAAGUGCCAUUUCUGUAUGUGAAAGAAAGUGAUGUGCAAUAAAACAACAUUGGAUCA